RNAcentral lists this ribosomal RNA (483 nucleotides) under uncultured bacterium. RNAcentral describes it as "partial 16S ribosomal RNA". It matches the Rfam family "Bacterial small subunit ribosomal RNA", at positions 30 to 507 of the family's 1533-position model. The record is from RNAcentral.
AUUGAACGCUGGCGGCAGGCCUAACACAUGCAAGUCGAGCGGAUGAAGGGAGCUUGCUCCUGGAUUCAGCGGCGGACGGGUGAGUAAUGCCUAGGAAUCUGCCUGGUAGUGGGGGAUAACGUCCGGAAACGGGCGCUAAUACCGCAUACGUCCUGAGGGAGAAAGUGGGGGAUCUUCGGACCUCACGCUAUCAGAUGAGCCUAGGUCGGAUUAGCUAGUUGGUGGGGUAAAGGCCUACCAAGGCGACGAUCCGUAACUGGUCUGAGAGGAUGAUCAGUCACACGGAACUUGAGAAAGGGCCCGGAUUCUUAGGGAAGCCAGCGGUGGGGAAAUUGGGAAAUGGGGGGAAAGCCUGAUCAAGCAAGGCCGCGGGGGUGAAGAAGGUCUUCGGUUUGUAAAGCACUUUAGGUUGGAAGAAGGGCAGUAAGUUAAUACCUUGCUGUUUUGACGUUACCAACAGAAUAAGCACCGGCUAACUUCGUG